GUGAAAUUAUUCAACGGCCGCGGUAUCCUAACCGUGCGAAGGUAGCGUAAUCACUUGUUCUUUAAAUGAGGACUAGUAUGAAUGGCACCACGAGGGUUCUACUGUCUCCUUUUUUUAAUCAGUGAAACUAAUCUCCCCGUGAAGAAGCGGGGAUCUUUAUAUAAGACGAGAAGACCCUAUGGAGCUUUAAACAACCAACAUUUGCUACACCAUAACAUUUCCCCUAAAAGAAGUAUAGCAUUAUGAUUAUUAGUUUUCGAUUGGGGUGAUCACGGAGUAAAAUAUAACCUCCAUGCCGAAAGGGUUCUUACCCUGAGCAAAAAGCCACAGCUUUAAGCACUAAAAAAUUAACGCAGUUUGACCCA
This 365-nucleotide ribosomal RNA is filed under the name Boana boans (rusty treefrog). RNAcentral's name for it is "partial 16S ribosomal RNA". It matches the Rfam family "Archaeal large subunit ribosomal RNA", at positions 1989 to 2453 of the family's 2987-position model. The record is from RNAcentral. Lineage: Eukaryota; Metazoa; Chordata; Amphibia; Anura; Hylidae.